RNAcentral lists this long non-coding RNA (436 nucleotides) under Macaca mulatta (Rhesus monkey). RNAcentral's name for it is "lncRNA (ENSMMUG00000057127.1)". The record is from RNAcentral. Lineage: Eukaryota; Metazoa; Chordata; Mammalia; Primates; Cercopithecidae.
AUUAAGUCUUAGAACAACGGCUUCCCUAUCUGUGUGUUUGUUUCAGAGAUGGGAGGUUUUAUUUUGCUUUGUUUUUGUGUAGUCAAGUUUUUCACUAAUAGUAUGAACGUGCAAGAAAAGUAUUAUUGAGAAUGAUAAACACUGAUCAUAAUAAUAAGAAAUUUACGUAUUAAUGUCUAAUUGUAAUAGAACCAGUCUUCAUUCUAUAUGUUAAUUUUUGAAGUGAUGAUUGGGGGUGUCUGGUCAAUUAUGCAUUCUAUAAUCAGCGGUCAUUAGGAAUUAGAAUAUGAGGGAACACCCAAGGAAACACCACUAUUACACUUUACCAUGCUUUAUAUAUUCUUCUGGGCUAGGAUUCAAAACCUGGCUGAAGUCCUGUUCUGAGAUCUGGACUGAUGUGAAUAGCAGGUAUGGAAGGAAAUCCUGAGCAGCUCAC